AAACCGGAGCUAAUACCGGAUACUAUGUCAAACCGCAUGGUUUGACAUUCAAAGACGGUUUCGGCUGUCACUUACAGAUGGGCCCGCGGCGCAUUAGCUAGUUGGUGAGGUAACGGCUCACCAAGGCGACGAUGCGUAGCCGACCUGAGAGGGUGAUCGGCCACACUGGGACUGAGACACGGCCCAGACUCCUACGGGAGGCAGCAGUAGGGAAUCUUCCGCAAUGGACGAAAGUCUGACGGAGCAACGCCGCGUGAGUGAUGAAGGUUUUCGGAUCGUAAAACUCUGUUGUCAGGGAAGAACAAGUGCCGGAGUAACUGCCGGCGCCUUGACGGUACCUGACCAGAAAGCCACGGCUAACUACGUGCCAGCAGCGGCGGGUAAUGA
RNAcentral lists this ribosomal RNA (387 nucleotides) under uncultured Bacillus sp. Its description in RNAcentral is "bacterial SSU rRNA". It matches the Rfam family "Bacterial small subunit ribosomal RNA", at positions 154 to 525 of the family's 1533-position model. Lineage: Bacteria; Bacillati; Bacillota; Bacilli; Caryophanales; Bacillaceae. The record is from RNAcentral.